This 468-nucleotide ribosomal RNA is filed under the name uncultured bacterium. RNAcentral's name for it is "partial 16S ribosomal RNA". It matches the Rfam family "Bacterial small subunit ribosomal RNA", at positions 28 to 507 of the family's 1533-position model. The record is from RNAcentral.
GACGAACGCUGGCGGCGUGCUUAACACAUGCAAGUCGAACGGAAAGGCCCUGCUUUUGUGGGGUGCUCGAGUGGCGAACGGGUGAGUAACACGUGAGUAACCUGCCCUUGACUUUGGUAUAACUUCAGGAAACUGGGGCUAAUACCGGAUCGGAGCUCCUGCUGCAUGGUGGGGGUUGGAAAGUUUCGGCGGUUGGGGAUGGACUCGCGACUUAUCAGCUUGUUGGUGGGGUAGUGGCUUACCAAGGCUUUGACGGGUAGCCGGCCUGAGAGGGUGACCGGCCACAUUGGGACUGAGAUACGGCCCAGACUCCUACGGGAGGCAGCAGUGGGGAAUAUUGCACAAUGGGCGGAAGCCUGAGGCAGCAACGCCGCGUGCGGGAUGACGGCCUGCGGGUUGUAAACCGCUUUCGCCUGUGACGAAGCGUGAGUGACGGUAAUGGGUAAAGAAGCACCGGCUAACUACGUG